Molecule: ribosomal RNA, 254 nt
Filed under: uncultured bacterium
Lineage: Bacteria
Description: partial 16S ribosomal RNA
Rfam family: Bacterial small subunit ribosomal RNA
Source: RNAcentral
UACGAAGGGGGCUAGCGUUGCUCGGAAUCACUGGGCGUAAAGGGCGCGUAGGCGGUUUGACAAGUCUGAUGUGAAAUCUCUGGGCUCAACCCAGAGUCUGCAUUAGAAACUGUCGGGCUUGAGUAUGGGAGAGGUGAGUGGAAUUUCCGGUGUAGCGGUGAAAUGCGUAGAUAUCGGAAGGAACACCUGUGGCGAAAGCGGCUCACUGGACCAUAACUGACGCUGAGGCGCGAAAGCUAGGGGAGCAAACAGGG